This is a non-coding RNA of Pteropus alecto (black flying fox), 298 nucleotides long. The record is from Rfam. NCBI's taxonomy places the organism in Eukaryota, Metazoa, Chordata, Mammalia, Chiroptera, Pteropodidae.
CGAUUGGAGAACAAUCUGGCUGCCACAUCUAUCACCCAUUGUUCUCCAGAGUUGCUUCUGCUCAUCUGACUUGCUAGGUAGGAUCUCCUUUCUCCCUCAACUCUUCAUUAUCAUCUCUCCAAAAACUCAAUCAAAAAAGAUGACUUUCGAUAUGGAGAAGAAAUCAUCUUCAAUCAAAGGUAUUGUAGGUAUUUAAUUCCCUGGGUAUAAUUACAAAACUAGCUCUACCUGUGGGGGGAAAUAGUUUCUUUUAAUUAGUUAUAAAUUUCCACCUCUCUUACUAUGGAAAGAAGAUAGU